UGGCAAUGGAUGUGUGCAUGUCUAGGAUUGGAUCCAUGAAGAGCUUGGUACUUAAGCAGUCCAAUAGACUCACCUCCUCUUUUCUGGCUUCCUACCUGGUGCACAGCUUCCAUUCACUUUAAUCUAUAACGAAAAUAUUCUUCUCAAAGAUUUUUAAUUAAAACAUGAGUUUUACAAUAACGCUCCAAUGAGUUUUACAUCAAGAAGGGUUUUCAAUGAAAACAUGGUUUUCGAAA
This 236-nucleotide long non-coding RNA is filed under the name Gossypium barbadense (sea-island cotton). RNAcentral's name for it is "long non-coding RNA (GBAR_LNC011360)". The record is from RNAcentral. Lineage: Eukaryota; Viridiplantae; Streptophyta; Magnoliopsida; Malvales; Malvaceae.